Molecule: long non-coding RNA, 445 nt
Organism: Ipomoea nil (Japanese morning glory)
Lineage: Eukaryota; Viridiplantae; Streptophyta; Magnoliopsida; Solanales; Convolvulaceae
Exons: 3
Source: RefSeq, a predicted model, not a curated record
CACAACUGAAUUUGGUCUCUGCCGAUUACCGAAAGGAAAGCCGACGGAGAAGCAUUGCGUCUGGUUAAAUGAACAUGAACCAUGGCUGUAUAGAGGAUGUAUUUAAGAAAAUAGUGUAUAAAGAAGAUAUGGCAUUCACUGCGCAAUUGAUCAUUGGUUGAAGAAAUGAUCUCAUGAUGAUGAUGAGGAUCGCCUUGAAAACUGUAUUUUCCCAAGAGUUGAUGAUCUGUAGGUUCUUGCUUGACAUGGUCUGCAAUUUUUUAUAUCUCAUAGUUGAUUUGGCUGCAACUCCCAUCAAAUGAUGAGGACCCACUGACCUCACUUCCCCCAAAUAUCAGCAAAUUAUGAUUACCCUUAUUCAUAGCUGCUGGGUGGUGAUGAUAUUGCUGCAUUAGUGCAGGGAGUUCAGCAAGGCCUGCUGGUCUUGAUAGCUCAUUUGAAAGUU